This 216-nucleotide ribosomal RNA is filed under the name uncultured bacterium. RNAcentral describes it as "partial 16S ribosomal RNA". It matches the Rfam family "Bacterial small subunit ribosomal RNA", at positions 524 to 739 of the family's 1533-position model. The record is from RNAcentral.
UACAGAGGGUGCGAGCGUUGUCCGGAAUCACUGGGCGUAAAGGGCGCGUAGGUGGCGACCCAAGUCGAUGGUGAAAGCUCGCCGCUCAACGGCGAGUCGGCCACCGAUACUGGGUUGCUGGAGCACUGUAGAGGCUCAUGGAAUUCCGGGUGUAGCGGUGGAAUGCGUAGAGAUCCGGAAGAACACCGGUGGCGAAGGCGGUGAGCUGGGCAGUUG